GGGGGGUGAGAUUUUGUGUGUGCGUGUGUGUGUGUGUGGGGGGGUGUGUGUAGGUGUGUGUGUGUGUGUGACAAUUAGAGAAAGCAGACUAAUUACCUUAACAUAUAUUCUCUUGCAAAUCAUAUGUAACAUCAAAACACUCAGAAAAAGGCAUAAAUAACGCACUGUUCUAGCUUUUUUCAUUGUAGGUGUUGACGUUCAG
This 202-nucleotide long non-coding RNA is filed under the name Mytilus galloprovincialis (Mediterranean mussel). Lineage: Eukaryota; Metazoa; Mollusca; Bivalvia; Mytilida; Mytilidae. The record is from RNAcentral.